This 197-nucleotide unclassified non-coding RNA is filed under the name rhizosphere metagenome. RNAcentral describes it as "partial ribosomal RNA internal transcribed spacer region". The record is from RNAcentral.
GUAGGUGAACCUGCGGAAGGAUCAUUAUCGUGGGGCUUCGGCCCUGUCGAGAUAACACCCUUGCCUUUUGAGUACCGUCCGUUUCCUCGGCAGGCCCGCCUGCCAAUGGGGACUACCAAUAAACUCUUUUAUGUACCUGUAUCAGUCUGAAAAACAAACAAAAGUUAAAACUUUCAACAACGGAUCUCUUGGUUCUG